RNAcentral lists this transfer RNA (111 nucleotides) under Tolypocladium ophioglossoides CBS 100239. It matches the Rfam family "tRNA". From Rfam's summary of the family: Transfer RNA (tRNA) molecules are approximately 80 nucleotides in length. Their secondary structure includes four short double-helical elements and three loops (D, anti-codon, and T loops). Lineage: Eukaryota; Fungi; Ascomycota; Sordariomycetes; Hypocreales; Ophiocordycipitaceae. The record is from Rfam by way of RNAcentral.
GGCACUUUGGCCGAGUGGUCUAAGGCGCCGUGUUCAGGCUAUCGGUUCUUCGGAACAGAUUCUCUCUUCGCGGUCUAGUAAUAGGCGAGGGUUCGAAUCCCUCAGGUGUCA